Molecule: ribosomal RNA, 255 nt
Filed under: Klebsiella pneumoniae
Lineage: Bacteria; Pseudomonadati; Pseudomonadota; Gammaproteobacteria; Enterobacterales; Enterobacteriaceae
Description: partial 16S ribosomal RNA
Rfam family: Bacterial small subunit ribosomal RNA
Source: RNAcentral
AGAAGAAGCACCGGCUAACUCCGUGCCAGCAGCCGCGGUAAUACGGAGGGUGCAAGCGUUAAUCGGAAUUACUGGGCGUAAAGCGCACGCAGGCGGUCUGUCAAGUCGGAUGUGAAAUCCCCGGGCUCAACCUGGGAACUGCAUUCGAAACUGGCAGGCUAGAGUCUUGUAGAGGGGGGUAGAAUUCCAGGUGUAGCGGUGAAAUGCGUAGAGAUCUGGAGGAAUACCGGUGGCGAAGGCGGCCCCCUGGACAAA